RNAcentral lists this long non-coding RNA (321 nucleotides) under Dermacentor andersoni. RNAcentral's name for it is "uncharacterized LOC126526378". Lineage: Eukaryota; Metazoa; Arthropoda; Arachnida; Ixodida; Ixodidae. The record is from RNAcentral.
CCACGACCAAGUACUCGCUGAUAGAGUGGAGUCGGUUGUCGAGUAUUGGAACCUAGGUCUGCGCCCCACAAGCCCCAUUCGGACUCGCUGCCCCCUACUGGUGUCAAGCACUUGUACUCGGAGUCGUUGGUCCUGUGUGCCUGGUUGACGUCAUCGUCGUGCUGUUCAGAGGUUUCAAACAGAGCAAUGCCUACCCUGUGCCAGCCACACCUCGUUCACAUGGCUUCUCCCGCGCUUCCGAACCUCGCCGGCAAGCUGUGUGGCCUAUACCACGCAUUGAGCACGCUGCUGCUUCAGAAAGUAAAGCUGCUGUUGCCAAAA